AAAAUCCGUCGAUUUUUAAAAUCGUGAGG
This 29-nucleotide transfer RNA is filed under the name Campanula caespitosa. Its description in RNAcentral is "partial tRNA-Leu". Lineage: Eukaryota; Viridiplantae; Streptophyta; Magnoliopsida; Asterales; Campanulaceae. The record is from RNAcentral. RNAcentral also lists the same sequence under 8 other names.